Non-coding RNA from Cervus elaphus (red deer), 588 nucleotides. Lineage: Eukaryota; Metazoa; Chordata; Mammalia; Artiodactyla; Cervidae. The record is from the annotation of a RefSeq genome assembly.
UGUAAAUGUGCUGCCAGGCAGACAAAGACACUGAACUCUCAGCUUGAGGCAGAACUGAGCACAUUUGAGCAGGGGAAUCCAUGCCUCAUGCCGCUCUCCAGCCUGCUCUGGGUGUUCCUGGCCUUCACCUUCUCUGGAUCUGGUGUGGCCCAGAAAGUUACUCAAGACCAGCCAGACAUAUCCAGUCAAGUUGGGGAGUUAGCCACCAUGAACUGUCAGUAUGAGACAAGUUGGAGGAGUUAUAACAUUUUUUGGUAUAAGCAGCUUCCCAGUGGAGAGAUGAUUUACCUUAUUAGUCAGAGUUCUUAUGGCCCGAAUGCAAGGGAUGGCCGCUACUCCAUAAAUUUUCAGAGAUCACUUAAAGCCAUCACCCUCAUUAUUUCAUCCUUAAAGCUGGAAGACUCUGCAAAGUACUUCUGUGCUCUCUGGGAACUCACAGUGCUUGAAGUGAUAGGAAAAGCUGCACAAAAACUCCCGAGCUGGAUAAGAGAGAGGACCCCCCUCCCCCCACAAACCCGCCCCCUUCCACUCCCGCUGCAGGACGACCGCCAAAAUACACACCUGCAGACCCCAGACAAGAAAUGGUAG